UCAGACAGUAUGAGUGUACAGGCAAUUUCCAAUUGUCAGGAUAGCUGGUUAGU
Molecule: transfer RNA, 53 nt
Filed under: Pomphorhynchus bulbocolli
Lineage: Eukaryota; Metazoa; Acanthocephala; Palaeacanthocephala; Echinorhynchida; Pomphorhynchidae
Description: tRNA-Gly
Source: RNAcentral